GGGACGUUCAGAAAAAGCAGUGGCCAACACAGAAACCAGACUGGCGGAAGUACAGAUUCAUGUCAGGUCACCAGGCUAGUUGGAUGGACUUUUCUCUUCUGGAGAUUUGAAGUUUACGUGGACAAGUACAGAGGCUAGAUUUCCACUGGAAUUCAAACAUUUUUAAUGAGUAGCACACUAUAGAAUUUUUUUCACAGUAAAGCUGAAUUUUUUUUCAUGUGCUAAGUGUAAGAAAAUAAAAUCUGUUAUUGAUUACAAUUCAACCUUUAUUUGGUAGAAAAAUAUGGCAUAUGAUCUUAUGAGGAGAAAAAUGGUGCUGUUCAGAAGCAUAACAUAUACAUAACUCCAAAGUCCUUUGUACAGAGAAAGAAAACCAAAUAUUUUCCUCGGUUGAAGCUUGUUUUAGCUUUUUUAAGAAAAAAAAAUGGAAUAAGAAAAGACUUUUAAUUUUUUUUCCGGCUUGAUAACUCAUUUGCUGUUGGUUAUAUAACCAGAGGUAAAACAAAAGAUUCAAAUAAAUGAGAAACUGGAGUACCAAGUAAUCAUUUCAUUGUAACUUAACUGGGACCCUUGGAGGCUCAACACUUCUAGGAAAUCUGACAAAUGUUUAUUAUGUCUUUACAUUCUCCUUUACAAGCUUACAGAGAGCAUCAGACAGAUUUUCCUCUUCUCUUUUUUUCUUUUCUUUUUCCUUUUUUUUUUUUUUUUGAGACCAGGCCUUUGACAGUCCUGAAUCUUAAAUGAUUGCCCAGCAGGCAUCAGGGAUCCCCCUGUUCCUGCCCUUCCAGUGCUAGGAUAACAACAGCAUGUCACCAUGACCGGAUUUUUUUUUUAAUGUGCUGCUAUGUCCAUUUUGUUUUGUUUAGUUUUGUUUGUUUAAUAUCUGAGAUCUGGGGGAGCAUGCUCUGGUGUUUCCUGCUUGUCAGACAAGCACUUUGGGGACUAACCCAUCUCUCCAGUCCUGGUCUCACUCUUUACCAUGUAUGCUUUCAUUUACUUUUUCUGAUCAUAUCUUAUUCCUUCCAAUGUUCCUUAAGCCUUAAGUGAAAAUGCUUUCCGGAUCAAAUUCUCUCAGUUGUAAAAUGAGGCAAAGGCAUGAAGAGAGUAGAAAGUACAUCUGAGUGAGGAAGGAGUCUAAUGUAUGUAUGUAUGUAUGUAUGUAUGUAUGUAUGUAUGUAUGUAUGUAUGUAUCUAUCUAUCUAUCUAUCUAUCUAUCUAUCUAUCCAUCCAUCCUGAUCUACCUGCCACUCCCUAGAAUUUGUUUUGUAGACCAGGCUGGCCCCAAACUCAGAGAUCUGUCUGAUUCUGCCUCCCAAGUACUGGGAUUAAAGGCUUGCACCACUGUGCUCAGCUAGUGCUUGUAAUCUUUUAACUUGUGUAUGUUGGAGGAGUCUGCUUGUUGGUUCCAAGCUGCCCAGCCCUGAAAUAAUCACACAGAAAUUGUAUUAAUUAAAUCACUGCUUGGUCCAUUAGUGCUAGCUUCUUAUUAGCUAACUGUUACAUAUUAAUUUAACCCAUUUCUAUUGAUCUGUGUAUCUCUACGAGGCUGUGGCUUACCGGGAAAAGUUCUGGCGUCUAUCUCUGGCAGGGCUACGUGGCUUCCCAGCAUUCUCUUUAGCUCUGUUCCCCUAUAGCUCUGUUUCAAAGUAGUUCCUUUAUUAACCAAUGUUAUUCAUAGUAUACAGAGGGGAAUCCCACACUACGUGUAUCAUUUGUGUUCUCUUUGCUAUUGUCAGUUUAUGCCUUUUUGUUUCACUGUUUUCAUUUUUGAGGGGUUUGGAGAGGGAGCACAGAUAAAAGUGUAUAGUCAAUUUCUCAUAUUUAUUAGGAGGGUUUAUGACAAUUUAAUAUUAGCUAGGGGAAAAACAUGUCUUUUGUAAGGAGAAAGCUUUUCUGUUUUUUGGUGAGUGACUUUUUAUUAAAGAUAUAUCUUGUUUUAUAUAUACAUAUAUAUUUUAUACGUAUAUAUACAAGCAUACACACACACACACACACACAAAGUGCUCUAUCUGCAUGGACAACUUUAUGCCAGAAGAGGGCAUCAGAUCCCACUAUAGAUGGUUGUGAACUACCAUGUGGUUGUGUGUGGGGGGGGGGGUAUUGAAUUCAGGACCUCUAGAAAAACAACCAGUGCUCUUAAACACUCAGCCAUCUCUUCAGUCCAGUGGAUGAUCUUUUAAAGAGGUUUUUUUUUUUUUACAUAAAAAUAAGGCCCAGGUUAUAUUCUGAAAUGGAAAUCUUGUGGAAAUAAAAAUAAAAAUUCCUCUGCAUAUUACUAGUUUAUUAUUAUUAUGUUACUAGUCUUUAUUCCUUUUUUUUCGAGACAGGGUUUCUCUGUAGCUUUGUUGCCUGUCCUGGAACUCACUCUGUAGACCAGGCUAGCCUCAGAUUCACAGAGAUUCACCUGCCUCUGCCUCCUGAGUGUUGGGAUUAAAGGAGUGUGCCACCACCACCUGACUCUAGUUUUUAUUCUUAUCUUUGAAGGGGAGAUAGAAGUUUUGCCCCUUUUUUAUGUGGCAAGAGGGGAGGUAAAGAUAAAAACAUGUUUAGAAACAUCUCACUCAUGGGAGAUUUGAUCCCUUGUAAACUCAGCACUUGGGAAGAAAAGCAGGAGGAUUGUUUGGUGUUGGGUGUGGGGAUCCAAGGUCAGCUCAGGCUACAAAAGACCUUUUCUCAAUAGAAAACAAAACAUCCAUCUGCUACACCAGCAAAACAUUCGAGGGAUCAGGGCAGUUCCUGAGCUCCCAGAGUGCCCUGGAACAGAGCAAGACAACUAGGCUUUCAGGCAACACUGUAGGGAUUUCCCUUGAGGAUUGCAACAACUCUAUCACUGCCUGCAGAGAGCCCCAGGGAGCAGUGAGAAGGUCCAUCCACAGGACUCUGCAUCCAAACAAGGCUUUGACCUUGAUCACUUACACAUUAAAAUUUGUCUUUGCUCUUUGGUUAUCCACGAAGUUCUGUUUUAUAUA
Alexandromys fortis (reed vole) is the source of this 2969-nucleotide long non-coding RNA. RefSeq lists it as uncharacterized. Lineage: Eukaryota; Metazoa; Chordata; Mammalia; Rodentia; Cricetidae. The record is from RefSeq and is a predicted model, not a curated record. The transcript is spliced from 3 exons.